This is a long non-coding RNA of Musa acuminata AAA Group (dessert banana), 584 nucleotides long. RefSeq lists it as uncharacterized. NCBI's taxonomy places the organism in Eukaryota, Viridiplantae, Streptophyta, Magnoliopsida, Zingiberales, Musaceae. The transcript is spliced from 3 exons. The record is from RefSeq and is a predicted model, not a curated record.
CGCUUUCCACCGAGGAGGGCGUGCAAUCGUAACUCAUCUUCUUGGAAAGGAGUGCUUCCAUAUCGGUGUCUGCAAAUGGGUAAAGUUGUCAAGGAGGGGCCGUGGGGUGCGAACGCAGGGAAUGCGUUCGAUACAGGUCGUGUUGACCGCUUUACCAAGGUCAAGAUUUACCAAGGAGAUGUAAUAUACGGUUUGGAAAUAACCUUCGUCGUGGAUGGUAAAACCCAACCCCCCAUGCUUAUUGGAAGCAAAAAGCGCGCAUCCCAAGAGAUUACCCUCGACGAGGACGAACACUUCAUUUCCAUCUCGGGAUACUUCAAACCAAUGUUGGGAAACGACAUUUUCAUAACACAACUUACUCUUACCACCGAUGAAAACAGAAACGUAAGUGCUGGCAAAGAGACGGGCAAUCCUUUCUCCCUUGCUUUAGAGGAGGGAGGUCGCAUUGUGGGCUUCUGUGGACUUGUUGGUCAACCGACUGUCGCCGUGGGAGCCAUUGCAGUGCACUGCUCCUUGGCUGAUUCCUAGAUAUGGAUGCACUUGUCCGUAAAGGGCUGCUGCUGCUACACAUAUGCUAUACUAAA